Molecule: RNase P RNA, 395 nt
Filed under: Martelella endophytica
Lineage: Bacteria; Pseudomonadati; Pseudomonadota; Alphaproteobacteria; Hyphomicrobiales; Aurantimonadaceae
Description: Bacterial RNase P class A
Rfam family: Bacterial RNase P class A
About the family: Ribonuclease P (RNase P) is a ubiquitous endoribonuclease, found in archaea, bacteria and eukarya as well as chloroplasts and mitochondria.
Source: Rfam by way of RNAcentral
CCAGUUGGCCGGGCGGCCGCGCUUUGCCAAUGCCGAAAGGCGGCAGGGUGAGGAAAGUCCGGGCUCCACGGAUUGACGGUGCCGGAGAAAGUCCGGCGGGGGCGACCCCAGGGACAGUGCCACAGAAAGCAAACCGCCCCGGUUUUCCGGGGUAAGGGUGAAAGGGUGGGGUAAGAGCCCACCGCGCCUGCGGCAACGCAAGGCGGCACGGUAAACCCCACCGGGAGCAAGACCGAAUAGGGAUGACGCGGGGCUCGCCCCAGGCCGUUUCCGGGCCAGUCAUCCGGGUGGGUUGCGAGAGGCGGCGCGCAAGCGUCGUCCCAGAUGAAUGGCCGCCACGUUUCGCGGGAAACCGCGAGGCCAUACAGAACCCGGCUUACAGGCCAACUGGUUUU